RNAcentral lists this ribosomal RNA (491 nucleotides) under Streptococcus mutans. Its description in RNAcentral is "bacterial SSU rRNA". It matches the Rfam family "Bacterial small subunit ribosomal RNA", at positions 28 to 495 of the family's 1533-position model. Lineage: Bacteria; Bacillati; Bacillota; Bacilli; Lactobacillales; Streptococcaceae. The record is from RNAcentral.
GACGAACGCGGGCGGCGUGCUUAAUACAUGCAAGUGGGACGCAAGGAAACACACUGUGCUUGCACACCGUGUUUUCUUGAGUCGCGAACGGGUGAGUAACGCGUAGGUAACCUGCCUAUUAGCGGGGGAUAACUAUUGGAAACGAUAGCUAAUACCGCAUAAUAUUAAUUAUUGCAUGAUAAUUGAUUGAAAGAUGCAAGCGCAUCACUAGUAGAUGGACCUGCGUUGUAUUAGCUAGUUGGUAAGGUAAGAGCUUACCAAGGCGACGAUACAUAGCCGACCUGAGAGGGUGAUCGGCCACACUGGGACUGAGACACGGCCCAGACUCCUACGGGAGGCAGCAGUAGGGAAUCUUCGGCAAUGGACGAAAGUCUGACCGAGCAACGCCGCGUGAGUGAAGAAGGUUUUCGGAUCGUAAAGCUCUGCUGUAAGUCAAGAACGUGUGUGAGAGUGGAAAGUUCACACAGUGACGGAGCUACCAGAAAGGCGCA